GGAUGUGUGAUGUGACAUCUGCCAUCCCGCUGAUCACAGGAUCCAGCUGAUUUUGCCCAUCCCCUUCCUCCCUCACCUCUCCAUGUGUGUCCCUCCCAAAGCUGUGCCUUCGGUCGAAGAGCACGACCUUCCCCUGAUAGAGGAGGAUCGUUCUUUAGUCCAGGGCAUAGGAGUAGCUGUGCUCUCCUGCUAGAAUCUCCAAACAAGCUCUCAAGGUCCAUUUGUAGGAGCACAUAGGGUAGUCAAGCUUCCAAGGCUCUAGGUACAUCCAAAUGAGGUGUUGCAUGUGGCAGUCUGCCUUUCUUU
This is an unclassified non-coding RNA of Panthera pardus (leopard), 306 nucleotides long. Its record names the gene 7SK. It matches the Rfam family "7SK RNA". From Rfam's summary of the family: 7SK was discovered as an abundant small nuclear RNA in the mid-70s but a possible function has only recently been suggested. Two independent studies have found that 7SK RNA binds the CDK9/cyclin T complex (known as elongation factor P-TEFb). Lineage: Eukaryota; Metazoa; Chordata; Mammalia; Carnivora; Felidae. The record is from Ensembl.